Molecule: ribosomal RNA, 712 nt
Filed under: Prosthiostomum trilineatum
Lineage: Eukaryota; Metazoa; Platyhelminthes; Polycladida; Prosthiostomidae
Description: partial 28S ribosomal RNA
Rfam family: Eukaryotic large subunit ribosomal RNA
Source: RNAcentral
ACGACCGGUACAUAUGCUUGUCCAACUUAGCUGGAAGGUAGCGCUAUCUACAUGUUAGCGUAUUAUAGACGGUUAUUUGGAGCGAACGGUGUACUGGAACAUAAUGCCUGCCCACACCAGGGCUCACAUGUCGGCUGUUUUGAGAAUGCAGUCUGGUUUCACUACUUCGGUAGGGGAGUCGGAUUCUUUCGCCUUACACGUUGGCCUCUGUGAUUGGCGUUGAUAUAGUGUGGUUGUGAAGUAGGUAGUCCACCUGACCCGUCUUGAAACACGGACCAAGGAGUCUAACAUGUGCGCGAGUCAUUGGAUUCUACGAAAUCUAAAGGCGCAGUGAAGGUGAAGAUUCACAGUGGUGAAUUGAGGUGGGAUAUUGAGUUACGUGCUCAAUCGCACCACCGGCCCGUUCCAUUUGUAUCUCAAAGGAGCGGAGCAAGAGCGUACACGUUGGGACCCGAAAGAUGGUGAACUAUGCUUGCGCAGGACGAAGCCAGAGGAAACUCUGGUGGAGGUCCGCAGCGAUUCUGACGUGCAAAUCGAUCGUCAAACGUGAGUAUAGGGGCGAAAGACUUAUCGAACCAUCUAGUAGCUGGUUCCCUUCGAAGUUUCCCUCAGGAUAGCUGGCACUCGGGAAAUUGAAACAGUUUUAUCCGGUAAAGCGAAUGAUUAGAGGUAUUGGGACGAAACUGCUCUCAACCUAUUCUCAAACUUUAAA